Non-coding RNA from Microcebus murinus (gray mouse lemur), 2130 nucleotides. The record is from RefSeq and is a predicted model, not a curated record. Lineage: Eukaryota; Metazoa; Chordata; Mammalia; Primates; Cheirogaleidae.
GAAUCUGACUUCACCCUGAUAACAAAAUUGUCCCUUUUUUCUUUUAUAUCAAAUGUUCUGCUUUUCAUCUUCUUUUUCUCCCUUUAUCCACUUUGACUAUUAAAAAAAUUAAUAUUUGUUUGCUUUUCUGCAUCUUUUUUUUCUUUUAAAAGUACUUCCAUGUGGGCAUGUGUGUUUGCGACAUAAAAGGCUAGAAGGCUUGAAAUUACCGGUGCCCCUUAUUGAUAGGGAAAGUCCACUUUGCACAUGUACCUUGUCAUGGAAGAAAAGUUUAAGUAAAAGUAAACAAAACAAAAAUCUAAAUACAAGCAAGAGCUUGUGAAUCUGUGAAAGACUUGGUUACGAGUAAAAGGAAGGUCUAAUACAUGGGAAUGGAAUCCUUUUUGUUAACAUUUUAAGUCUGUCUAGCAUCCCUGGUAAUCAGGGUUUUCUAUUACAUCAAAAUAUGUUCCAAGUUUUAAAUUAUUGACUUAAAAACUAAUUUAGGUAUCUAAAUUAUUCAUUUAAAGACUAACAUGGGAGUACAAGCAUUAGUAAACUGAAGGCUAACUACUAAAAAAUAUAUAAAAGUAAAUGAAAUAUAUUAUUGAUAGAUUAAUCAAAACCCAACUUUGGAGGGAGACUAAAAUAGAAAUAAAACAACUAAAAUUUGAAUUAUUUGGGACAAGUUUUAUGAAGCUGGGUUAAAUUUUGAUAAACUGUGCCUGCAUGUUCUACCAAAUAGAGAAAAAUCCCCGAGAGCAUUGAACAUCACCCAUUUACCUCUGAAGUCAAAACUGCCCUUUCAUCCAAUUCAACAACUCUGCAAUUCCCAAAGUCUACAGGCCAUUCAGCCGUGCCAUGUUUGGCUCAUGGACAUGGACAUGAGCUAGAGAGGAAAAUUCAAAAGAAAGGCAGUAGUGAAAGAGACAUCAUUACUUCAUCAAGUAAUGAAUGAAAGAAGCCAGUAGUAUUUUUUAAAGGAGGAUAAAAAAAUUUUAGGGAAUCAAAGAAUAGGUGCUCAGUAAGUGUAGUCAGGUUCUGCAGUCUUUUCAUAAGCUUUGGCCAGAAGCAACUCUUCCAGCUCUUGGGAAUGUAGGUUGCAGAGUUCACUCUGGUUCCCCAUGUACAGUCAAAUCUCCAAGUAUCAUUUCUGUCCAAGGGCAGUCUGUGCUGGCACACAAAAGAAUAAGAAGGAGGGGUAAAGAGGGAGAGGUUGGCUAGUGUUAAAGGGAGAGCUUUUCCACAGGGUUCUAUGGUUGCUAUAGUAACAGCUUCUUUUGUUUGUACAUAUUCAGAACAGCUGCUUCCUUUUGGUUUCUGGUGGCAGGGAUAUUAUAGAGGCCAAAAACAUCAUAAAGAAUGGUACAGGCAUUCGGAGAAAUGAGUUGAUGACAGACUGUGAGCUCCCAGGGACAGAAAGCGGGAGUUAAAGUGAGUAGAGUAAUGGUGACUUUCCAAUAUUUUACAAGAUUCUCUGAUCCAAACAAUCAGUAAAAAGGACAACAUAUAUUAUCACAUUCAAACCCAUGGCAAUAACUCUUGAUUUGAAGUGCUAUUUUAAUGGAACAACAUAGCUCCUACGUCAUGGUCUCCUUUCUUUGAGAGGAAGUUCAAGGAAUAUACUGUGAAAUACAAAUCUAAGAAAAAUUAGUUCACAGCCUUUCAGGUUGGAAGAGUUGUAUAAUGACUGCAAUAAACUGCAGUGUCUUGUAAAGAUGACAUCUCUAAGAUGAUGAAUACAAAAGGAUGUUGCCAUUAAAACUCAGCAUAGUUUCCAUACCACCAAGUGCUUCACUGUGGAGCCACAAAGGAUCAAAUGUGACAAUAUAGAUAAGGGGCCGGGACAAAACCCAGCACCUAAACGACUGCAAGCCAGCCAACACUGUUUAUAAGGAGAACUUCCCAUUGAAACUGAAGGAAUCAGUGUCUAUGAGGACUGUAAGAUUCUAUCCAGUGAGAUGCUGAACCAUCUACCUCAGUGCAAGGACUAGUUCCAGGACCUCUGCAGACACUGAAAUCCAUGGAUAAUCAAGUUCCUUAUAUAAAAUGGCAAGUAUUUCCAAUCCAUGUUGGUUGAAUCUAUGGAUGGAGAACCUGGGGACACAAAGGACUGACUAUAUAUUGCCAGGCACUGUGCGAGGCUCUGGA